This 547-nucleotide long non-coding RNA is filed under the name Sus scrofa (pig). RNAcentral describes it as "lncRNA (ENSSSCG00070011285.1)". The record is from RNAcentral. Lineage: Eukaryota; Metazoa; Chordata; Mammalia; Artiodactyla; Suidae.
GUAACCACUGCGCCACGACGGGAACUCCCGGAAAAGCUAUUUUUUAAUGAUGCUGAAAUGCCCGGAGAUAAUACAGAAAACAGAACAGAUUAUUUCAUUGGAUAAAAUCAUUAAUUUUGAUGUCAGACAGACUUUGGAUAAAGUUCUGACUCUGAAAUAAGCAACUGCAGGGAACUCAGCAAGGAACGUGAAGAAAUUUGGGGGACUGUUGUGUUUGUUUCUGUUUCAUAAGAAUUCUUAUAUUACUCUUUUUAUUUUUCAGAUCAACUGAAGGAAAAUGAUCAACUGAAGGAAAAUGAUCAACUUAGGAAGGAAAAUGGAAAAUUGCAAAAGGAAAUUGAUGAGAGGAAAGCUCAAUUUAGGAAUGGUAAGUAAUUUGGAAGUUCUUUCGUGGAUCAGAUUCCACAAAUAAUAAGCCAUCUAGCCCUUCUCUAAACCUCCUUCCAGAAAGAGUCAGGCAUGGUAUACCAUGGCAUGUGCUCACUGUGUAGAAGCAUAAAUGGAAGAGAAUCUGUGAAAGUGAGUUAACUCAUUUUCUUUCCUAACU